UGACCAUGUCUUUGGUUUAUAGUGAACGGA
Molecule: non-coding RNA, 30 nt
Filed under: Mus musculus (house mouse)
Lineage: Eukaryota; Metazoa; Chordata; Mammalia; Rodentia; Muridae
Source: RNAcentral